Long non-coding RNA from Musa acuminata subsp. malaccensis (wild Malaysian banana), 530 nucleotides. RefSeq lists it as uncharacterized. Lineage: Eukaryota; Viridiplantae; Streptophyta; Magnoliopsida; Zingiberales; Musaceae. The record is from RefSeq and is a predicted model, not a curated record.
UGCCUGAAAAGUUGGCAGUAGCUAAUACAUCAAUCGAUCAAAAUGAGCCGAAAGAGCUCUCACGUAACAGACGAGCUAAUUCCCUUGAGGAUCUUCUUUACACCCUUGAUCGACCAGCUCUCCAGAGAGAAGUAACUCGAUGAAACCUCCUCCUGGGUGGCUGUGGAAACCUCAACUUUUCCAUUGGGAUGUUCAUUCAUGCAAUUCCAAUUAAACGUCUUCUCACCGGCCCAGCUGGCUUAAUGCAGUCCCGGUUUGAUGAUUCUUCCGUACAGCCCUACAUCAUUCACAGAGAAAAGGAUGGCAGAUAAGGACCUCAACGAUACAGCACAUUUCAGGCUUCUUUAGACCAUGACAAAGGAUGUUGUACCAGAACUAUAUUCUUGCCUAGAGGUUAUGCCUUGGUGUUAUGAAUGGAGAAGUUCCAUGAUUUACUCGGUUCUGGAAUUAUUUGGUCGUGUGAGAUGAUUUCCCUGAUGUGAAGCACGACAAGAAUACUCGUAUGUAUGUAUGUAUUCAACUUUGUGUUC